CCUACCUUCGACGGCUCCCUCCCUUGCGGGUUAGGCCACCGGCUUCGAGUAUUGCCGACUUUCGUGGUGUGACGGGCGGUGUGUACAAGACCCGGGAACAUAUUCACCGCGGCGUUGCUGAUCCGCGAUUACUAGCAACUCCACCUUCAUGGAGGCGAGUUUCAGCCUCCAAUCCGAACCGAGACCGCUUUUUUGGGAUUCGCUCACCCUCGCAGGUUUGCAGCCCUUUGUACACAGCAUUGUAGGACGUGUGCAGCCCUAGUCAUAAAGGCCAUGAGGACUUGACGUCAUCCCCACCUUCCUCCGGUUUAACACCGGCGGUCUCGCUAGAGUCCCCGACAUGACUCGCUGGCAACUAGCGACAAGGGUUUCGCUCGUUAAGGGACUUAACCCGACAUCUCACGACACGAGCUGACGACAGCCAUGCAGCACCUGUGCACGUUCCACCCGAAAGCGUGGCCCGGCUUUC
RNAcentral lists this ribosomal RNA (469 nucleotides) under uncultured Actinomycetes bacterium. Its description in RNAcentral is "uncultured actinobacterium partial 16S ribosomal RNA". The record is from RNAcentral. Lineage: Bacteria; Bacillati; Actinomycetota; Actinomycetes.